RNAcentral lists this ribosomal RNA (252 nucleotides) under uncultured bacterium. RNAcentral describes it as "partial 16S ribosomal RNA". It matches the Rfam family "Bacterial small subunit ribosomal RNA", at positions 524 to 776 of the family's 1533-position model. The record is from RNAcentral.
UACGUAGGCAGCAAGCGUUGUUCGGAGUUACUGGGCGUAAAGGGUGCGUAGGUGGCUCUAUAAGUAUGGUGUGAAAUCUCCCGGCUUAACUGGGAGGGUGCGCCGUAGACUGUGGGGCUAGAGUGUGGGAGAGGAAAGUGGAAUUCCUGGUGUAGCGGUGAAAUGCGUAGAUAUCAGGAGGAACACCGGUGGUGUAAACGCUUUCUGGACCAUAACUGACACUGAGGCACGAAAGCGUGGGUAGCAAACAGG